GACGGAAGUUUUCGGAUGGAAGCCUGUAAUUCUUAGUGGCGGACGGGUGAGUAACGCGUGGGCAACCUGCCCUAUACAGGGGGAUAGCAGCUGGAAACGGCUGGUAAGACCGCAUAAGUCGGUUAAAUCGCAUGAUUUGACCGGGAAAUGAGCAAUCAGGUAUAGGAUGGGCCUGCGUCCGAUUAGCCAGUUGGCAGGGUAAAAGCCUACCAAAGCGACGAUCGGUAGCCGGACUGAGAGGUCGGACGGCCACAUUGGGACUGAGACACGGCCCAAACUCCUACGGGAGGCAGCAGUGGGGGAUAUUGCACAAUGGAGGAAACUCUGAUGCAGCGACGCCGCGUGAGUGAAGAAGUAUUUCGGUAUGUAAAGCUCUAUCAGCAGGGAAGAUGAUGACGUACCUGACUAAGAGCCCC
This 416-nucleotide ribosomal RNA is filed under the name Catonella morbi. RNAcentral describes it as "bacterial SSU rRNA". It matches the Rfam family "Bacterial small subunit ribosomal RNA", at positions 65 to 493 of the family's 1533-position model. Lineage: Bacteria; Bacillati; Bacillota; Clostridia; Lachnospirales; Lachnospiraceae. The record is from RNAcentral.